UAAGGAUGGUAAGGGCGGACGGUGGAUCCCUCGGCAGCCGGAGGCGAUGAAGGGCGUGGCCAGCUGCGAUAAGCCCCGGGGAGCCGCUGAGCAGGCGAUGAUCCGGGGAUUCCCGAAUGGGGAAACCCACCGUACCGUUGAGGUACGGUAUCCGCCGCCGAAACACAAGUAGGCGGCGGAGGCGAACCCCGCGAAGGGAAACAUCCCAGUAGCGGGAGGAAAAGAAAUCAACACCCGUCUCCUUCGGGAGGCGGGCGCGUCCCCCAAAAGGGGACGUGGAGAUUCCCCUAGUAGCGGCGAGCGAACGGGGAACAGCCCAAACCUCACGGGUGUUAAAGCCCGCAGGCGUUGCCCGUGGGGGGUUGCGGGACGGCAACGGGGAGGGCUGCGGACCUCCCAGGGAGUUACAAAAGCCUUCUCUAGCCGAACGGCCUGCAAAGUCGCUGGAAAGGGCGGCCGGAGAGGGUGAAAGCCCCGUAGGCGAAAGGGAAGGCUCUCCCGGGUUGCCGCUCCCAAGUAGCGUCGGACACGUGAAAUCCGGCGUGAAUCUGGGGGGCCCACCCUCCAAGGCUAAAUACUCCCGGCUGACCGAUAGCGCACCAGUACCGUGAGGGAAAGGUGAAAAGAACCCCGGGAGGGGAGUGAAAUAGAACGUGAAACCGUCCGCUCACAGGCAGUAGGAGCCUGGAGGCCUUGGCCCUUCGGGGCCCUGGCUGAAGGGUGACUGCAUGCCUUUUGCAGUAUGAGCCGGCGAGUUAUGGUCCGUGGCGAGGCUAAGCGGGUCUCCCGCGGAGCCGUAGCGAAAGCGAGUCCGAACAGGGCGUCCAGUCACGGGCCAUAGACCCGAAGCCAGGCGAUCUACCCGUGGGCAGGGUGAAGGCGGGGUAAGACCCGCCGGAGGCCCGAACCCAUUGGACGUGCAAUUCCAUGGGAUGACCUGCGGGUAGCGGUGAAAUGCCAAUCGAGCCUGGUGAUAGCUGGCUCUCCCCGAAAUGGCUCUAGGGUCAGCCUCACGGCUCAGGCGGCCGGGGGUAGAGCACUGGAUGGGGAAGGGGGGAAACUCCCGACUCCAACCAAACUCCGAAUACCGGCCGUCGGUCCGUGGGAGUGAGUCCGUGGGGGAUAACCUCCACGGUCGAGAGGGGAACAACCCAGACCGCCGGCUAAGGCCCCAAAAUCCGGGCUAAGUGGGGAAGGCGGUGUGGCCGCUAAAACAGCUGGGAGGUUGGCUUAGAAGCAGCCAUCCUUUAAAGAGUGCGUAACAGCUCACCAGUCUAGCGGCCGCGCGCCGAAAAUGUAACGGGGCUAAGCCCGGUGCCGAAGCCGCGGGCUUCCGCGAGGGUUUCCUCGUGGGAGCGGUAGGGGAGCGUUCCCAGCGGGGCGAAGCCGCGUCGCGAGGCGCGGUGGACUGCUGGGAAGUGAGAAUGCCGGCAUGAGUAGCGAGAGGCGGGUGAGAAUCCCGCCCCCCGGAUGCCCAAGGUUUCCUGGGGAAGGCUCGUCCGCCCAGGGUUAGGCGGGACCUAAGGUGAACCCGAAAGGGGUAGCCGAUGGGCAGCCGGUUAAUAUUCCGGCCCCUCCGGGUCCGCGCUACGAGCGAAGGGGUGACGCCGCAGGACUAUCCCCGCGGGCUUACGGCUAUGCCCGUCCAAGCGUCAAGCCAGGGGGAGGAGGCAAAUCCCCUCCCCCGCUACGGCGAGGCGUGAUGGCGAGCCGCUUAACGCGGCGAAGGGGGAUGGGUUCAGCGGCCGAGAAAAGCCUCUAGCCAGUGGGCCCGGAGCCCGUACCGCAAACCGACACAGGUGGGCGAGGGGAGUACCCACAGGGGGGCGAGAUAACCCCGGUCAAGGAACUCGGCAAAUUGCCCCCGUAACCUCGGGAGAAGGGGGGCCCUCGCCGUGGCCAGGGAUUCUCUUGGCUGCGGUUGGGGGCCGCAGAGAAUCGGCCCAGGCGACUGUUUACCAAAAACACAGGUCCCUGCUAACCCGUAAGGGGACGUAUAGGGGCUGAAACCUGGCCACUGCCGGUAGGUCAAGGGGAGGGGUGCAAGCCCCGAACCGAAGCCCCGGUGAAGGCCGGCCGUAACUAUAACGGUCCUAAGGUAGCGAAGUACCUUGUCGGGUAAGCCAAAGCUUGCCCCACCGCCCCGCGAGGGGCGGUGAAAAACCCGGCUCAUAUCGGGGGAGCCCUCCUGCCGAAAUGGCGUGGGGUAACCCCGAGGGAAGUCGGCUCCAUAUGGAGCUUGACCCCGUAACGACUGACCCGAAAGGGGAGGCGCGCUGUCCUCCCAGCGCGCAACACGCCGGGCCUCGCCCGCAAACGGGCGCCUAUGGAGUCCCCUUUCCCGCAGAGGGAGGUGGGAAAUGGAGAAGCUGGAUCCAUGGUACGUAACGGGCCUUGUAGAGGGGGAAGGCACCUUCGCCGUGAGCUUCACUUUGCGGAGGAAGCUUACGGUGGGGAUCGAGACGCGCCCCUCCUUCUCCAUUUCCCAGAACGAGGCCAAUCUCGAGCUCCUGAAGCGGGUGUAUGCCUAUUUCGGGUGCGGGGCGAUCCGCUACUCCCGCAGCGACCGCACCUACAAGUACGAGGUGCGGUCGGUGAGGGAUUUGACCAAGCGGAUCAUCCCCCAUUUCCGGCGCUAUCCGCUUCAGGGAGCCAAGGCGCGGGACUUCGAGAAGUUCGCGCGCAUUUGUGAGAUGGUCCAUCGGAAUCUGCACCUCAACCGCCGCCACUUGCGGGAGAUCAUUGAGAUCGCCUAUUCGAUGAACCCCGCGGGCAAGAGGCGGCACCGGAAGGGGGAUCUCCUAAGGGUGCUGGGCGAGGAUAAGGGAUAGUCUACCCCCCGUGGAAACACGGGAGAGGGUGAAGUUCCGACCUGCAUGAAAGGAACAACGACCUGGGCACUGUCUUGACCGGGGGCUCGGUGAACUUGAAGCGCCGGUGAAGAUGCCGGCGACCCGCGGUGGGACAGAAAGACCCCGUGGAGCUUUACUGCAGCCUGGUGUUGGGUCUUGGUCGUUGAUGUAGAGGAUAGGUGGGAGGCUGAGAAGCUCGGGCGCCAGCCCGGGUGGAGCCGCCGGUGGAAUACCACCCUUCAACGACUGAGGCUCUAACCAGGGGCCGUUAGCAGCGGUUCCGGGACAGCGCCAGGUGGGCAGUUUUGCUGGGGCGGCAGCCUCCUAAAGGGUAACGGAGGCGCCCAAAGGUCCCCUCAGGCGGGUUAGCGAUCCGCCGUGGAGUGCAAGGGCAGACAGGGGGCUUGACUGCGAGGCCUACAAGCCGAGCAGGGGCGAAAGCCGGGCCUAGUGACCCACCGGCUCCUCGUGGUAGGGCCGGUGAUCAGCGGAUAAAAGUUACCCCGGGGAUAACAGGCUGGUCCCGCCCGAGAGUUCACAUCGACGGCGGGGUUCGGCACCUCGAUGUCGGCUCACCCCAUCCUGGGGCUGCACCAGGUCCCAAGGGUUGGGCUGUUCGCCCAUCAAAGGGGUUCAUGAGCUGGGUUCAGACCGUCGUGAGACAGGUCGGUCCCUAUCUACCGCGGGCGCAGGAGGCUUGAGGGGGUCCGCUCCUAGUACGAGAGGACCGGAGCGGCCGGGCCGCUGGUGUACCAGCUGUCCCGCCCGGGGCACCGCUGGGUAGCUAAGCCCGGACCGGAUAAGAGCUGAAGGCAUCUAAGCUCGAAGCCGACCCCAAGAUGAGGCCUCCCCAUCAGGGCCCUCCGAGACCAGGAGGUCGAUAGGCCGCAGGUGGAAGCCCGGCAACGGGUGGAGCCGAGCGGUACUAAUAGCCCGAUCGCCUUA
RNAcentral lists this ribosomal RNA (3797 nucleotides) under Candidatus Acetothermia bacterium. RNAcentral's name for it is "bacterial LSU rRNA". It matches the Rfam family "Bacterial large subunit ribosomal RNA". Lineage: Bacteria; Candidatus Bipolaricaulota. The record is from RNAcentral.